RNAcentral lists this long non-coding RNA (236 nucleotides) under Lathyrus oleraceus (garden pea). RNAcentral's name for it is "Pisum sativum (pea) long non-coding RNA (PSAT_LNC023816)". Lineage: Eukaryota; Viridiplantae; Streptophyta; Magnoliopsida; Fabales; Fabaceae. The record is from RNAcentral.
UGCUAUGCAACCAAAGGAUGUUAAGAAUAAAAAAUAUAAGUAGAAUCAUUCUAGAUUACCAUUUCCAAUGCAACAUGUACAUCAAAUUAAUUUUAAAAAAUAUACAGAGGGUAAUAAGAUAGAUGACAAAAUACAAAUUUCACAAGUUAAACGCGAGUUUAUCCGUAAUACUACAAUGUUAUACCUUAUUCAUUGGAAAAAAGAUAUACCUCUAGUAGUGCAUCCUUAAACUCAAC